RNAcentral lists this non-coding RNA (117 nucleotides) under Homo sapiens (human). The record is from Rfam by way of RNAcentral. Lineage: Eukaryota; Metazoa; Chordata; Mammalia; Primates; Hominidae.
GCUGGGCGUGGUGGCUCACGCCUGUAAUCCCAGCACCUUGGGAGGCCGAGGUGGGUGGAUCACCUGAGGUCAGGAGUUUGAGACCAGCCUGACCAACCUGGUGAAACCCCGUCUCUA